UACAGAGGGUGCAAGCGUUGCUCGGAAUUAUUGGGCGUAAAGGGUAGGUAGGUGGUCUUGUUUGUCUGGGGUGAAAGCCUUGAGCUUAACUCAAGAAGUGCCCCAGAAACGGCAAGACUAGAGUACUGGAGAGGGUCGUGGAAUUCCCGGUGUAGCGGUGAAAUGCGUAGAGAUCGGGAGGAACACCAGAGGCGAAGGCGGCGACCUGGACAGUAACUGACACUCAACUACGAAAGCGUGGGGAGCAAACAGG
This 253-nucleotide ribosomal RNA is filed under the name uncultured bacterium. RNAcentral's name for it is "partial 16S ribosomal RNA". It matches the Rfam family "Bacterial small subunit ribosomal RNA", at positions 524 to 776 of the family's 1533-position model. The record is from RNAcentral.